This 494-nucleotide ribosomal RNA is filed under the name uncultured bacterium. Its description in RNAcentral is "bacterial SSU rRNA". It matches the Rfam family "Bacterial small subunit ribosomal RNA", at positions 322 to 807 of the family's 1533-position model. The record is from RNAcentral.
AGACACGGCCCAGACUCCUACGGGAGGCAGCAGUAGGGAAUCUUCCGCAAUGGACGAAAGUCUGACGGAGCGACGCCGCGUGAGCGAAGAAGGUCUUCGGAUCGUAAAGCUCUGUUGUUAGGGAAGAAGAAGCGCCGUUCGAACAGGGCGGCGCGGUGACGGUACCUAACGAGAAAGCCCCGGCUAACUACGUGCCAGCAGCCGCGGUAAUACGUAGGGGGCGAGCGUUGUCCGGAAUUAUUGGGCGUAAAGCGCGCGCAGGCGGUCCCUUAAGUCUGAUGUGAAAGCCCACGGCUUAACCGUGGAGGGUCAUUGGAAACUGGGGGACUUGAGUGCAGAAGAGGAGAGCGGAAUUCCACGUGUAGCGGUGAAAUGCGUAGAGAUGUGGAGGAACACCAGUGGCGAAGGCGGCUCUCUGGUCUGUAACUGACGCUGAGGCGCGAAAGCGUGGGGAGCAAACAGGAUUAGAUACCCUGGUAGUCCACGCCGUAAAC